UACGGGGGGGGGUAAGCGUUGUUCGGAAUUACUGGGCGUAAAGGGCUCGUAGGCGGCCAACUAAGUCGGACGUGAAAUCCCUCAGCUUAACUGGGGAACUGCGUCCGAUACUGGAUGGCUUGGAUUUGGGAGAGGGAUGCGGAAUUCCAGGUGUAGCGGUGAAAUGCGUAGAUAUCUGGAGGAAUACCGGUGGCGAAGGCGGCAUCCUGGACCGACAUUGACGCUGAUGAGCGAAAGCUAGGGGAGCAAACGGG
This 254-nucleotide ribosomal RNA is filed under the name uncultured bacterium. RNAcentral's name for it is "partial 16S ribosomal RNA". It matches the Rfam family "Bacterial small subunit ribosomal RNA", at positions 524 to 776 of the family's 1533-position model. The record is from RNAcentral.